GUGCACACUUCGGCAACACAUAUACUAAAAUUGGAACAAUACAAAGAAGAUUCGCAUGGCCCCUGCACAAAAAUUAUAAUGAGCAUAGAAACAAAUAUCUUACAUAU
Molecule: small nuclear RNA, 107 nt
Organism: Suncus etruscus (white-toothed pygmy shrew)
Lineage: Eukaryota; Metazoa; Chordata; Mammalia; Eulipotyphla; Soricidae
Source: RefSeq, a predicted model, not a curated record